This 377-nucleotide long non-coding RNA is filed under the name Monodelphis domestica (gray short-tailed opossum). RNAcentral's name for it is "lncRNA (ENSMODG00000047184.1)". Lineage: Eukaryota; Metazoa; Chordata; Mammalia; Didelphimorphia; Didelphidae. The record is from RNAcentral.
AUGUGGGACUUGCUGCCUGGUGUUGGAGGAGAGAGGAGCUUGUUCAGCCUGUCUGGAAUGGCAUGCUCUUCUUGGUUCAGCCCAAAGAUUCAGGCCCAUUCAUCUCUGAAGGUGGCCUGGCUGGCAGCGUGUGAAGUGUUCCGGUAUCUUGGGUGGUGGCAGCUAUUGUCCGGUUUGGUGGUUCCUUCUCUUCCUCCUCAAAUGAAAACUGACUUUCUCCAAAACAACAGUCUCACCUAUCCCAAACAAUGCUUUUCUUUUUAAAUAAUUUUAUUGAGCUCCUUCAGGAUAGGGACUGUCUUGCAUACUUGUAUUUGCAUCCCCAGCACUUGGCACAUUUCCUGGAAUAAAGUAAAUAAUAAAAAGAGAAUAAAAUA